AACUGUUCAAGCUGAUGCAGCAGUUGGAGAGUACAACCCCACAUUUUAUUCGAUGCAUUCAACCAAAUAGCAAACAACUUCCCAGGUUAUUCGAGCAUGAUCUUAUCUUGCACCAGCUUAAAUGCUGUGGGGUGCUUGAAGUUGUCCGGAUAUCAAGAACAUGCUAUCCAACUAGGAUCACUCACCAACAGUUUGCUGAAAGAUAUGGGUUUCUUCUCUUGCGUUCGAUUGCAUCUCAAGACCCACUUAGUGUUUCAAUUGCUGUUUUGCAACAGUUGAACAUCCCCCCUGAAAUGUAUCAAGUUGGCUACACAAAAUUGUUUUUCCGUACAGGACAGGUUGCUGCACUGGAAAAUGCUAAAAUACAGAUGCUUCAUGGAACCCUCCGUAUUCAGAAACACUUCCGGGGUAUGCAUUCUCGUUAGGGAUAUCAACGACUCAAGAAAGCAGCAAUGAAUUUGCAAUCAUUUAUACGUGGUGAAAGAGCAAGAAUACACUUUGAUAAUCUUGUCAAGAGAUGGAGGGCAGCUGUUCUAAUACAGAAGUACACUAGGCGUCGACUUGCAGCUAACAUGUUUAAUGAUCAACUAAAUCAUAUCAUUCUUCUUC
Zea mays is the source of this 609-nucleotide RNA transcript. It is a transcript of the gene named myosin pseudogene, with no coding region annotated. NCBI's taxonomy places the organism in Eukaryota, Viridiplantae, Streptophyta, Magnoliopsida, Poales, Poaceae. The transcript has 4 exons. The record is from RefSeq and is marked validated.